Molecule: ribosomal RNA, 257 nt
Filed under: uncultured bacterium
Lineage: Bacteria
Description: partial 16S ribosomal RNA
Rfam family: Bacterial small subunit ribosomal RNA
Source: RNAcentral
ACCUACGGGGCGCAGCAGUAGGGAAUCUUCCACAAUGGACGAAAGUCUGAUGGAGCAACGCCGCGUGAGUGAAGAAGGGUUUCGGCUCGUAAAGCUCUGUUGGUAGUGAAGAAAGAUAGAGGUAGUAACUGGCCUUUAUUUGACGGUAAUUACUUAGAAAGUCACGGCUAACUACGUGCCAGCAGCCGCGGGUAUACGUAGGUGGCAAGCGUUGUCCGGAUUUUUUGGGCGUAAAGCGAGUGCAGGCGGGUUCAUAA